GACGAACGCUGGCGGCGUGCUUAACACAUGCAAGUCGAGCGGUAAGGCCCUUUCGGGGGUACGACGAGCGGCGAACGGGUGAGUAACACGUGGGUGACCUGCCCUCCAGCUCUGGGAUAAGCCCGGGAAACUGGGUCUAAUACCGGAUAUGACUCCAUGACGCAUGUUGUGGGGUGGAAAGCCUUGUGCGGCUGAGGAUGGGCCCGCGGCCUAUCAGCUUGUUGGUGGGGUGAUGGCCACCAAGGCGACGACGGGUAGCCGGCCUGAGAGGGCGACCGGCCACACUGGGACUGAGAUACGGCCCAGACUCCUACGGGAGGGCAGCAGUGGGGAAUCUUGCGCAAUGGGCGAAAGCCUGACGCAGCGACGCCGCGUGAGGGAUGACGGCCU
RNAcentral lists this ribosomal RNA (390 nucleotides) under uncultured bacterium. Its description in RNAcentral is "bacterial SSU rRNA". It matches the Rfam family "Bacterial small subunit ribosomal RNA", at positions 28 to 417 of the family's 1533-position model. The record is from RNAcentral.